Molecule: non-coding RNA, 3711 nt
Organism: Microcebus murinus (gray mouse lemur)
Lineage: Eukaryota; Metazoa; Chordata; Mammalia; Primates; Cheirogaleidae
Source: RefSeq, a predicted model, not a curated record
GCUGUUUGGGACGCCGGGUGCGCGGUUGUGCUGUCUCUGCUCUCGUUUCACUGUCACAGCCGUCCCUUCCCGGAGCCCGGGAGAGGCUGGGCGCGCGCCCCUGUGUGUGAGCGGGACUCAGGGCAGAGCUGUCUACUCGUUGCCUUUUUUUUUUUUUUUCUUUUCUCCAAAGAACGGGGCAGUUCGCACGCUGGCCAUCCUGUAGCCCAGUUGGGAGCGGGGUUGGUGUGCGGAGUGGUUCGUCUUUUUUUUUUUUUUUUCUUUUAAACUUGUGAGCGCUUUUUUUUCCUUUUGCUUUUUUUUAGGCUCAGUGCCGUCCGGGCUGGUUUCCCGGGCCCUGACUAACCGCUUUCUGCCCCUUCUCUCGCCACCCCCGCCCAAGGUCGCCCCUCCGCCCUCACCCCUGGCCCGAGAGGGUGGGAAGCUUUGUCCCCGCCCUGCCCACCCGUGCGUCUUCGCUGCCGUAGCCGCACCUGCCUCAAUAUGAAUGGGGUCAACGACCCUCCUCUUUUUAUAAAAGACAUUAAGCCCGGACUGAAAAACUUAAAUGUCGUCUUUAUUGUCCUGGAGAUAGGACGCGUGACCAAAACCAAAGACGGCCAUGAAGUGAGAUCGUGCAAAGUAGCAGAUAAAACGGGCAGCAUCACUAUUUCCGUGUGGGAUGAGAUCGGAGGUCUUAUACAGCCAGGGGAUAUUAUUCGGUUGACCAGAGGGUAUGCAUCCAUGUGGAAAGGAUGUCUGACACUUUAUACUGGAAGAGGUGGUGAACUUCAAAAAAUUGGGGAAUUUUGUAUGGUUUAUUCAGAAGUGCCAAAUUUCAGUGAACCCAACCCAGAUUAUCGAGGACAGCAGAACAAAGGGGCACAGAGUGAACAGAAGAAUAAUUCCAUGAAUGGUAAUAUGGGUACAGGUACAUUUGGACCAGUGGGAAACGGUGUUCAAAGUGGCUCUGAGUCAAGGGGAUGCCACUUUUCAUAUGCUGGUAGAAGCAAUGGCCGAGGACCUAUAAAUCCACAACUACCAGGAACUGCUAAUAAUCAUACGGUCAUGACCACAAUAAGUAAUGGCAGGGACCCUCGGAGAGCCUUUAAAAGAUGACCUAUGCCAAAUACCCACAUGUAGUUUUUAAACUACAUGCCCUACUUGAACACUUAUUGCACUUUUAUUUAUUGUUAACUGUGAAAAGUAUGUCUUUUAUGGUUUCCUCUUAUGUUUUUGAUUUGUUAAGAAGAGUGGUUUGUUUUUUAUAGCAAAACUGUUGAGCUGCUCAAGUCUCCUAUUGAAGAAUGGGAACACUCUGAAAAGUAGGGGCAUUUAUUUUUAGAGCAAAAAAGAUUGUUGGAUAGCCUCUAAAAACCCGGCACCCAUUUCGUGGGGAAGCCUCCAAAACCAAAGCAAAGUGAGUCACAAUCCAUAAUGAAUAUUUGCCUUACCAGUCUACUUGGACUUCACUCAUCAAGAAGAGGAAGAAAGUUAUCUGCCUUCCUCCUCCUUGGUGCUUUCAGCUGUCGACUUUGAAAUAAGUUUAAACAACACCUACUGAAAACAAUAACCAUUUAGUACAGAAACACACUCUACCAGGAUUGGGUUCCCUGUAUUGUUUCAUCAAAACUGUUCUGAAGUGGAUGGAAGUCUGAUGAGACCAGCUUGUCCCUCCUGUGUGGGUGGGUUCUGGGGAGAGUUGCUAUGAUACAAAAACUGAAAGAUGAAAUCCAUAAGGCCAGAUGAUGAUAUUUAACAGUGAAGGCUCCAGUGUGCUUUCCCAUAGGCAUUUCAACAUCUAGAUUUCUAUGUAGUGUACCAAUUCUAUUUUUGCUUUGUCCCUAUAAUAAUCUUAGUAAUUUUGGUUUAAAUUUGAGGACAGUUUAACUUGAGAAUACCCUGAGUAUGUGUAGUACUAUUUGUCAAAAUUGUAUUUUUAUCAUUUAACAUUUUACAUGUUUAAUUUGCCGGGUUGGGUAAUACCAAGGGGAUGAUGCUGAAAACAAACAGAUGUGAGGUUAGUAAAAAUUACAAAGUGUAAGAACUUUUUAAAAAAAUAUAUAGGAAGGUAGUUAACUGGCCCUAAAAUGUUUUCUCAGAAGGUGCAGGUCUUACAUCUGUCAGAAGAAACAGUGGAAGCUAUUAGCUAACAUUUUAUACAGAUCAUAUAUUUCAGCUUAGUUACUGAAAUUACUUGCCUUUUUCUGGUGUCAUUAACAUAAUGGAGGUUUGUUCCCAGCCAUUUUAGGCUGCCUAUGACUUGAGCUCCUUUAAAGGAUUCUAGAGACAACAAACUGACAACAAACUGAAAAGGGUGCGUGGUAUCAACAUAGAAUACCCCCAAAGGAGUCUCUUCUUACCUCUAACCUUGUUUUUGAGAUUAGUUGCCCUUAUAGCUACUAGGGUUUUUUUUUGUUUUUUUUUUUUUAAGAUCUACUUUUCCUUCUCUGUUUUAUCCCUCACCUGAUGAGAGUCUGGACAUUUUUGGUAGAAAAAGAUGGUCACAGUUCUCUAGUAUAGGCAAACCUACCUCUAUCACGGUGGAAGCCUGUGUGCUGAGGUUCCAGCCAAUUUUUGAAUGUUGGAGUAAUUAAACAGUCCCACAUUUCACAGAGUAGUUGUAAUGAUUAACAGUUUAGAUAUGCUGAGGAAAUCUAAUUGUGACCUUUGGAAAAUAGCCCUGUCCUGAAUACUGUGGUGGUAUGCCUUGAGGGGGAAGCUAGAAAAACAUUUUACUUUCCAGGUAUAUUUAAAUUCUCUCCAAGCUUGCUUUAUUGGGAACCACUAGAGUUUGGGUUCAAAUAUUAUAAACAAAUUACUCCAGAUUUCUGAACUAAAAGGAUCUAUCGACAUUUCUCAGAACAAACUGAAGAGAAUCAGCUCAAAUCAAAAAGUUUGACUAGUAGAUGUUUCAUUUGGGCCUUUUGAAAGGUCCUGAUAGACAGCCCCCAAUUUUAUUGUGGCUCCCCAACCUUUGAGAAAUGCCAAUCAAGGUUUGGAUGAUCAAUGUUGACCUAUGCUAGAGCCCAGGUCUCAGUUCAUUGCCAUACCCCUGUUCACACCAUCACACGGUAUCUAUUGUUUCACUUCUAUGAAGGACUACUCGCAUGUUUUUAGAAACCUGUUCUUUUCUUCAUUUCUAAAUGGAGAAAUUGAAGUAAAUUUUAUAUCCCAUCAAAAUUUAUGCUUCUGUGCAUAGGAUAGUCUAGUUUAUUAAUCCAUAUAUUAAAUACAUGAAUAGAAUUCUCAAACAAUGGUUUGUAAGCCACCUAUAUGAGACUCCCCAGGAACUUGUCAGACCUACAGAUUGUGCCCCUGCUCUACUAGGAGAAUUUACCAGUAUAGAUUUGGGAGACCUGUGCUUUAAACACCCAUCUUGUCUUUGGCUCUUGAGUUCUCUGUUUAAAAAUGAGAUAACUGUUUUGAAGUUACAUGUGUAUGUUUUUUCAGUUUCUUCUGCCUUUGUGAGGCUAAAAUAUGCUAACAUUUUGGAUUAUAAAAUAGAAAAAAAAUUGCACUUAGAAGGAUAUGCCUCCAAAGGGCAGGAUAGAUGGGGUAAGCUACAUAGUCCUGAGCAGAAUAACAUGUUCGGUAUGGCUUCUGGGUGAGGGUGCCACAAAUUUUGAAUUAGGUUCAAAGAAAAUUGUUCAAAUGACAUCAGUGCUAAGAUCAGCUCUAUGGGGAGGGUCACUGUCUAGAUAAAAGUAAAAAUAAGCUUUGUUGCUAUAA